ACGGCUACACCACAUUGAAAACACAUGUUCUCGUUCGAUCACCGAAGUUAAGCAAUACAGGCCUGGUCAAUACUUGAGAUUAAUUAUUCCAGAAUUGGCCAAAUAUCCAUUCUUGAAAUAAUUU
Cordylochernes scorpioides is the source of this 124-nucleotide non-coding RNA. NCBI's taxonomy places the organism in Eukaryota, Metazoa, Arthropoda, Arachnida, Pseudoscorpiones, Chernetidae. The record is from the annotation of a GenBank genome assembly.